Molecule: unclassified non-coding RNA, 568 nt
Filed under: Hevea brasiliensis (rubber tree)
Lineage: Eukaryota; Viridiplantae; Streptophyta; Magnoliopsida; Malpighiales; Euphorbiaceae
Source: RNAcentral
UCUGGGCCCGCACCGGCUGCACCUCCUCCCCACACUUCAGCUGCGUCACCGGCGACUGCGGCCCCCGCAUCGCCUGCGCCGGCGCCGGCGGCGCCCCCCCUGCCACCCUCGCCCAGAUCAUCCUCCACCACGGCGACCACGACCAGACCUCCUACGGCGUCAGCCUCGUCGACGGCUACAACGUCGGCAUGACAGUGACACCCCACGACAGCCGGGGGCUUAGAGGCGUCUGUCCCGUCAUCGGCUGCAGAGCCAACUUGCUGAGGAGCUGCCCGGACGUGCUGCAGGUGAGGGCGUCGGUCGGUGGCGGGGCGGCGGUGGUGGCGUGCAAGAGUGGGUGCUUGGCUUAUGACACCGAUGAGCUUUGCUGCCGGAACAAGUAUAACAGUCCGAUGACGUGCAGGGCGUCGGAGUAUUCGAAGUUCUUCAAGCGGGAGUGCCCGGAGAGCUUUACUUAUGCUCAUGAUAGUCCGUCGCUGACCCAUGACUGUGCGGAGCCGCAGGAGUUGAAGGUCAUCUUCUGCCAUGAUCAGCCUGCCCGUUAGGGUUUUAGUUAGGGGAGUAUGGU